RNAcentral lists this ribosomal RNA (682 nucleotides) under uncultured bacterium. RNAcentral describes it as "bacterial SSU rRNA". It matches the Rfam family "Bacterial small subunit ribosomal RNA", at positions 54 to 749 of the family's 1533-position model. The record is from RNAcentral.
CAUGCAAGUCGAACGGAAAGGCCCUUUCGGGGGUGCUCGAGUGGCGAACGGGUGAGUAACACGUGGGUGAUCUGCCCUGCACUUUGGGAUAAGCCUGGGAAACUGGGUCUAAUACCGAAUACACCCUGCUGGUCGCAUGGCCUGGUGGGGGAAAGCUUUUGCGGUGUGGGAUGGGCCCGCGGCCUAUCAGCUUGUUGGUGGGGUGAUGGCCUACCAAGGCGACGACGGGUAGCCGGCCUGAGAGGGUGUCCGGCCACACUGGGACUGAGAUACGGCCCAGACUCCUACGGGAGGCAGCAGUGGGGAAUAUUGCACAAUGGGCGCAAGCCUGAUGCAGCGACGCCGCGUGAGGGAUGACGGCCUUCGGGUUGUAAACCUCUUUCAGUAUCGACGAAGCGCAAGUGACGGUAGGUACAGAAGAAGCACCGGCCAACUACGUGCCAGCAGCCGCGGUAAUACGUAGGGUGCGAGCGUUGUCCGGAAUUACUGGGCGUAAAGAGCUCGUAGGUGGUUUGUCGCGUUGUUCGUGAAAACUCACAGCUCAACUGUGGGCGUGCGGGCGAUACGGGCAGACUGGAGUACUGCAGGGGAGACUGGAAUUCCUGGUGUAGCGGUGGAAUGCGCAGAUAUCANGAGGAACACCGGUGGCGAANGCGGGUCUCUGGGCAGUAACUGACGCUGA